UGUGUGUGGGGGAGGGAGGGGGGGUCAGGGGACGACAGUAGCCAUGUCGAUACAACCGCCUCAAAAGGUGGCCACCGCCCCAAAUAGGUUGAUGUUUCGGGUAAAUUUCUAGUCGCAGACAGUCCUGCCAAAGACUCAACAGUGUUUGAUAUACUGUACGCCACCCUAUCCCUAGAGUCGUAACACCACUGUAUAACAGUUAGCACAGCUAUUACACAGUUAUAACAAGUUUAACAUAUAAAAAAGUAGGUGUCAUGGCCUAAGGUGGUAUUGUAUAUUGUAUGAGGUCAUUCUAAGACAGCGUCACUGUACGACCUUAUCCAACAAUAAAAACUCAAAUUCCCUCUAAAUUUAUCUCGGAAAUUUAACGGAAAUUGAAUGAUGGCAAUAACUGCUGUGCCUAAAUGAGAUUCGUAAAAUAAAUCUCUUUUUUUUUCGUAGUGAAUUCAAGUUUAAUCUGAAAAAAAGCCUUGUAAAAAUGUACUAACAAAUAGGCUUGUUUCAAAGCCAUGGUCAUUUGCUUUUCAGAAUUUCAAUGUUCAAUGUAAAAAAAAUAUUCACACCUGUUGCCAACUAUUUCUAGGGUCCAACUAAAUGACCAAUGUCUGACUCUGUUUGUUGUAAAUCUCAGAUGUGGGUCAGGUGACUCUCCCAGACCUGAAACACUUCCUGGUUUCACAUACCCAAACUGAGGGGUCAAACAGUUUGAGGAGCCCGGAAGGGGUCAAAGGUCACGAGGGUUAUCACAUGUCUCCGUUGUGUUUGACCUCCCCGCAGCUGGCACGUUUCACAACCUGAGUCUCACUGUCAUUCGGGCGCACCGUAAAUCUGUUCCUGCUGUGUGUAGAAGCUUACAUCUCACCUAGAAGUUGGCCUGUGUUAAAACGGGUUACAGCUCAUCUCCACUGCUUUAUCAGAUGACCACUUGAAAAUACUGCAACUGCAUUUGUUCCUGGUAUGUUCCUGGUAUGUUCCUGGUCACUGGGUUUGAAUUAGAGGCGCAUCUUAACUACGGUUCAUAGUCUAAGAGUUAUUAAAAUAAUAAUGUACGUGAGACUUAUUAGUGAAUGGUCAGCUGUUGGUCUGUCCAGGGGUUGACUACAGUUUUAAUGCUAUUCAAAGGCAUUUUGUUUUUCUGAUAUGUUUUUCUUUUUUUUUUUUAUUAUUAUUUUUAAUGUUUUAUAUUUACAGUAUAAACUGUACAUAUAUAUAUAUACCCAACUUUUGCACGCUUAUUCUCAAGCGAUUGAUUUGAAAAGCGGAAUUGAAGAAAACAAAAUACAGUUGUUAUUUUUAUUUAUUAUUAUUAUUAUUAUUAUUAUUCAGUUUUCUGAAGAGAGAAAACAAAAAGUAAUUGUGAGAGAGAUGCAAAACUAUUUUAAAUACAAUAAUUUUCUAAAAAACCUUAAUCCAUGAGAGGUGUAUUGUAUGAGUUUUUUGAAUGCAAAACGUGUGAAUGUUGUUGUGGAGUGAUGAUGAUGAUGAUGAUGAUGAUGAUGAUGAUGAUGAUGACGAUGAUGGGGCUCUGGGUGUCGAAAUAUGUGGCUAGGUUUACAUUGAGUAAAGUGAAUCUCAACAGUUAAGUUAACACUUAACCCAGUUAUUUUAUCAAUUAAUGUUAGUUUUGCUGUUAAGAUACAAUGUUUAUUUUUGGUAAUUUUGGCAGAAGUUAUCUAGCAUCUGCAUUUAUAUAAAAGGUAUAAAAGUUAAUUAAGAUAUGUUGUUACUUGUGGUGGGAAGCAAAGUGAAGUUGAUUAUAUAUUUGGGUCAGAGUUCAGACAACGAGGCACAGAAGAGGUGGAGAACUUAAGUUAAAAGUGUUGACACACACACACUCAAAACAUAACUAUUUUCGGUGUAAACCUAGCCACAAACUACAUCAUGGGAUACAAUUUUUUUUAAAGGCUGUAUAAUCUUAAACUGCUGGCUACAAGGGGUAGUAUUAUAUAACGUUUUUUCAUUUUUUGCUUGCGUUUAUAUAACAUUGUUGUAGUAGUUCUUGUACCCGUGUGGAAACAUAUAUAUACUUCUUUCUUACUAGAUUGGAUACAUACUGUAGCACAACCAAGGACCCUUUUAACAUUUAACAGACAUAAUAUAUAAAUCGUUAAGUGUAUGCACCAGUAGUUAUUGUGACAUUGUUUAAGAGACAAAAAAAAGCUGCAGCCUCGAAGAUAGACAAACAUGUGUGUAACUUGUAGAACAUUGUGAAGUCAUACAAACAUUGUGAUUGAUGAAAAGCAAUCUAUUUUAAGUCAUAUAGCUGCUAAUUGUGUAUGUGUUAUUGUAGUGGUACUUUUUGCUUUAGGAGUAAAUGGUGGUUAAAUGAGGAUGGAGAAUACUCAGUACUAAGAUGCGAAAUGUUAGAUUAGAGACCACUUCGGACUUGUGAUGAUCUUGGCAGUUUCAGAACAUUCUUUGUUGAUUGUUUAUUUACCAUUUUAUGUUUUUAUCCCUUCUUUCUUACUUCUCUGUUUGGAUUUUAUUAGUUUGUUAGGUGUCGUAAAAAAAGAAAGAAAAGAAACUAGUAUUUUCUGAAACUUUAAAAAAAAUCAACCGCAACAAAUGCAUGCUAGAUUGUUAGAUUGCUCUUUGACAUAGCAAGAGCUCGCUUUUGUGUUAGACUUUACGUCAUUUUCAAGGACAAAAAGAAAAAUAAGAAAAGAAAAGAAAAUGCUAAAAUAAACGUGGGGUGGCGAGA
Molecule: long non-coding RNA, 2701 nt
Organism: Osmerus eperlanus (European smelt)
Lineage: Eukaryota; Metazoa; Chordata; Actinopteri; Osmeriformes; Osmeridae
Exons: 2
Source: RefSeq, a predicted model, not a curated record